Oncorhynchus keta (chum salmon) is the source of this 2774-nucleotide long non-coding RNA. RefSeq lists it as uncharacterized. The record is from RefSeq and is a predicted model, not a curated record. The transcript has 12 exons. NCBI's taxonomy places the organism in Eukaryota, Metazoa, Chordata, Actinopteri, Salmoniformes, Salmonidae.
UAUUGAUGACAUGGCAGUAAUGGCAGGAAUAAUCUAUUGAUGACAUGGCAUUAAUGGCAGGUAGAAUCUAUUGAUGACAUGGCAGUAAUGGCAGGUAGAAUCUAUUGAUGACAUGGCAUUAAUGGCAGGUAGAAUCUAUUGAUGACAUGGCAGUAAUGGCAGGUAGAAUCUAUUGAUGACAUGGCAGUGAUGGCAGGUAGAAUCUAUUGAUGACAUGGCAGUAAUGGCAGGUAGAAUCUAUUGAUGACAUGGCAUUAAUGGCAGGUAGAAUCUAUUGAUGACAUGGCAGUAAUGGCAGAUAGAAUCUAUUGAUGACAUGGCAGUAAUGGCAGGUAGAAUCUAUUGAUGACAUGGCAGUAAUGGCAGGUAGAAUCUAUUGAUGACAUGGCAUUAAUGGCAGGUAGAAUCUAUUGAUGACAUGGCAGUAAUGGCAGGUAGAAUCUAUUGAUGACAUGGCAUUAAUGGCAGGUAGAAUCUAUUGAUGACAUGGCAGUAAUGGCAGGUAGAAUCUAUUGAUGACAUGGCAUUAAUGGCAGGUAGAAUCUAUUGAUGACAUGGCAGUAAUGGCAGGUAGAAUCUAUUGAUGACAUGGCAGUAAUGGCAGGUAGAAUCUAUUGAUGACAUGGCAGUAAUGGCAGAUAGAAUCUAUUGAUGACAUGGCAGUAAUGGCAGAUAGAAUCUAUUGAUGACAUGGCAGUAAUGGCAGGUAGAAUCUAUUGAUGACAUGGCAGUAAUGGCAGGUAGAAUCUAUUGAUGACAGAUAGAAUCUAUUGAUGACAUGGCAGUAAUGGCAGAUAGAAUCUAUUGAUGACAUGGCAGUGAUGGCAGAUAGAAUCUAUUUGUAACAAAAACAGGCAGUGUUGACCAGGACAUGAGAUGUAACAGGUAGUAUUGACCAGGACAUGAGAUGUAACAGGUAGUAUUGACCAGGACAUCAGAUGUAACAGGUAGUAUUGACCAGGACAUCAGAUGGUAGUAUUGACCAGGACAUCAGAUGUAACAGUUCAGUAUUGACCAGGACAUCAGAUGGCAGUAUUGACCAGGACAUGAGAUGUAACAGGCAGUAUUGACCAGGACAUGAGAUGUAACAGGUAGUAUUGACCAGGACAUCAGAUGUAACAGGUAGUAUUGACCAGGACAUGAGAUGUAACAGGUAGUAUUGACCAGGACAUCAGAUGUAACAGGCAGUAUUGACCAGGACAUGAGAUGUAACAGGUAGUAUUGACCAGGACAUCAGAUGUAACAGGUAGUAUUGACCAGGACAUGAGAUGUAACAGGUAGUAUUGACCAGGACAUGAGAUGUAACAGGUAGUAUUGACCAGGACAUCAGAUGUAACAGGUAGUAUUGACCAGGACAUCAGAUGGUAGUAUUGACCAGGACAUCAGAUGUAACAGGUAGUAUUGACCAGGACAUCAGAUGUAACAGGUAGUAUUGACCAGGACAUCAGAUGUAACAGGUAGUAUUGACCAGGACAUCAGAUGUAACAGGUAGUAUUGACCAGGACAUCAGAUGUAACAGGUAGUAUUGACCAGGACAUCAGAUGGUAGUAUUGACCAGGACAUCAGAUGUAACAGGCAGUAUUGACCAGGACAUCAGAUGUAACAGGUAGUAUUGACCAGGACAUCAGAUGUAACAGGUAGUAUUGACCAGGACAUCAGAUGUAACAGGUAGUAUUGACCAGGACAUCAGAUGUAACAGGUAGUAUUGACCAGGACAUGAGAUGUAACAGGUAGUAUUGACCAGGACAUCAGAUGUAACAGGUAGUAUUGACCAGGACAUCAGAUGUAACAGGUAGUAUUGACCAGGACAUGAGAUGUAACAGGUAGUAUUGACCAGGACAUGAGAUGUAACAGGUAGUAUUGACCAGGACAUCAGAUGGUAGUAUUGACCAGGACAUCAGAUGUAACAGGCAGUAUUGACCAGGACAUCAGAUGUAACAGGUAGUAUUGACCAGGACAUGAGAUGUAACAGGUAGUAUUGACCAGGACAUCAGAUGUAACAGGUAGUAUUGACCAGGACAUCAGAUGUAACAGGUAUUAUUGACCAGGACAUCAGAUGGUAGUAUUGACCAGGACAUCAGAUGUAACAGGUAGUAUUGACCAGGACAUCAGAUGUAACAGGUAGUAUUGACCAGGACAUCAGAUGUAACAGGUAGUAUUGACCAGGACAUCAGAUGUAACAGGUAGUAUUGACCAGGACAUGAGAUGUAACAGGUAGUAUUGACCAGGACAUGAGAUGUAACAGGUAGUAUUGACCAGGACAUCAGAUGUAACAGGUAGUAUUGACCAGGACAUGAGAUGUAACAGGUAGUAUUGACCAGGACAUGAGAUGUAACAGGUAGUAUUGACCAGGACAUGAGAUGUAACAGGUAGUAUUGACCAGGACAUCAGAUGUAACAGGCAGUAUUGACCAGGACAUCAGAUGUAACAGGCAGUAUUGACCAGGACAUCAGAUGUAACAGGUAGUAUUGACCAGGACAUGAGAUGUAACAGGUAGUAUUGACCAGGACAUGAGAUGUAACAGGUAGUAUUGACCAGGACAUCAGAUGUAACAGGUAGUAUUGACCAGGACAUGAGAUGUAACAGGUAGUAUUGACCAGGACAUGAGAUGUAACAGGUAGUAUUGACCAGGACAUCAGAUGUAACAGGCAGUAUUGACCAGGACAUGAGAUGUAACAGGUAGUAUUGACCAGGACAUCAGAUGGUAGUAUUGACCAGGACAUCAGAUGGUAGUAUUGACCAGGACAUCAGAUGGUAGUAUUGACCAGGACAUC